Molecule: non-coding RNA, 445 nt
Organism: Caenorhabditis elegans
Lineage: Eukaryota; Metazoa; Nematoda; Chromadorea; Rhabditida; Rhabditidae
Source: Ensembl
AAACAACAAAAAAAAUCAAUAAAUGUAUUAUUUCUCAAAUUGACUCCAAAAAUGAUUCAAAAUAAAAUGCAUUUCAUUCUUCUCGGCUUCUGGAUGUUUUCGAUAAUUUUUGAAUCUUCAAGUGCACAAAAACUCAGCAAACAGGAAUUUCUUGACAAGUGGAACCAUCGAAGACGUCUCGUAGCAAACAAGUUCCGCGUCCCUGAUAUAUGUGGAAACUGAGCCCGAAGCCACUGGAAGGACCAAUCACAUUCCACCUGAGAUAUCCGACGAGAGAUACAAUCAUCAGCAACUAAUCAACAAUUACAACGAGGAACUUUCGGACAUUCAGAAAAGAUUAUCUCGUUUGAACGUUCUAUAUGCAAACAUACUCCUGGCUAAAGAACAAUGUCAAAAAUCGAACUGUUUAUCAUGUAAUAAAUAAAAUUUUAUUAAUUAAAAAAAA